AAUUAUCUAAAGCAAUUAUGCUGUUAGCCUCCAGAAGACAUGUCACAUGAAGCUAAACAAUUUAAGUGGUUAGACGGAGAUCUGUUUUGAAAUUAUAUGAAGAGAAGGAUAUUGGAAGACACAAAGAACUGGCUUGUUAAAGAAAAUCAGAACUAAUCAAUGACAUAAUGGAUUAUCUGAGCAAGAAGUGUGUUUUCAUCAAAACUUCAGGUUAUGAUCUUUCCACUUAUACCAACUAAAUAAACAUGACAGCAGACACAGUUUCUUUUCUCUGGACUGUCUGUGUCAGUGCUGACACUACCUCAGUUUGAAAAAAGAGAGCAAAAAAUAAAGUCCACAUGUGUCCCCAAGGUAGCACCAGCCUGUUUGAG
RNAcentral lists this long non-coding RNA (371 nucleotides) under Homo sapiens (human). Its description in RNAcentral is "non-protein coding lnc-APOB-3:1". The record is from RNAcentral. Lineage: Eukaryota; Metazoa; Chordata; Mammalia; Primates; Hominidae.